GACGAACGCUGGCGGCGUGCUUAACACAUGCAAGUCGAACGGAAAGGCCCUGCUUUUGUGGGGUGCUCGAGUGGCGAACGGGUGAGUAACACGUGAGUAACCUGCCCUUGACUUUGGGAUAACUUCAGGAAACUGGGGCUAAUACCGGAUAGGAGCUCCUGCUGCAUGGUGGGGGUUGGAAAGUUUCGGCGGUUGGGGAUGGACUCGCGGCUUAUCAGCUUGUUGGUGGGGUAGUGGCUUACCAAGGCUUUGACGGGUAGCCGGCCUGAGAGGGUGACCGGCCACAUUGGAACUGGGAUACGGCCCGGACUCCUCCGGGGGGCAGCGGUGGGAAUAUUGCACAAUGGGCGGAAGCCUGAUGCAGCAACGCCGCGUGCGGGAUGACGGCCUUCGGGUUGUAAACCGCUUUCGCCUGUGACGAAGCGUGAGUGACGGUAAUGGGUAAAGAAGCACCGGCUAACUACGUG
Molecule: ribosomal RNA, 467 nt
Filed under: uncultured bacterium
Lineage: Bacteria
Description: partial 16S ribosomal RNA
Rfam family: Bacterial small subunit ribosomal RNA
Source: RNAcentral